CGCCACAACCUGCGAGAAAAGGAGAGCCCCUUCCCCGCCCCGAGGACUACAACUGGAUCCAGCCACGAUGGAGAGAACUACUCGAUAUCCAGAGAUUGAAUUUCAAUGAUCUAUGGUAAGUGGAUAAAACUUUGGAGUGCCCCCUUGGGGAAAGAGUGAGUCUACAUGGAUAUGUAUCAACAGAAAGGUGGUUUGUAGAGAAUGUACUAGCUGCUCAAAAAUGCACUUGUUCUCCACCUCUUGAUCCUGGAAGCAAAGGUUUCUUACCUCUUGUUCUUUUGUGUGGGAAUUUCCUGAGUUCUAGCCAAUGAAGUGUGAACACAGUUGACAUUUCCAGUCUUGACCCAUUAAAAAUUCCCGUGUAUGCUCCUUUAAGCUCUAUUUGUUUUCUAUUUGGAAUUUGGAAUGGAGCACUGCCAAAGAGGCCUUGGAUUGGCAUAAGGUGAAGAUGGCAGAAAGCCCGUUGGCCAUUUGGAGGAGGAUUGCUAUACUGACCUGUUUACUCUUUUGAGCAAAAAAUAAGCUCUAAUACAUUUGUAGUAUAUCCUAGGACAGAUAUAAUGAAGCACCAUAGAUAGGUUGGCUUAUAAACAGACAUGUUUCCCACAGUUCUAGAGACUGGGAGUCUGAGAUUGUAAUGCCAGCAUGACUGAGGCCAGGGGAAGGCCCUCUUCCAGGUCGUAGAUAACUGACUUCUCUUUGUAUCCUCCUGUGGCAGAAAGUGAGCAAGCUAGCUCUCUGGUCCUUUUCUAUGAGGGAAAUAAUCACACUCAUGAAGGCUCUAUUUCAUUACCUAAUUUUGUCUCAGAGGUCCCACCAUCACAUACUAUCCCGUUAAGGGUUAGGAUUUCAGUGGAUGCAUUUUAGGGGGACAUAGACAUGCAGUCUGUAACAUGCUAUUUAUUUUGGUCUCCAUUUGUUGCAGCAAUUAGUCGAUCUUGCCUAAUGUUAACAAGAUUACUAAAGGAGCGGUAAAGACGUGUAUUAAUAAAUUCAUCCUGAAUGAAAGCUGUUCAAUUUCUAGCACUGUUUUGUCAUUUGUAAUCAAUUUUAUAACCAUUCCUGUUUAACUAUGUAGCCUUAGUUUAAUGUUUAACUCACCCAAAUUAUUAUUUUUUAUGGUGGCAAUAGUAAAAGACUUUGAUGGUUAAAUUCAACACAGAAAAUGGUGAGGACAAAGAGCAUUACUGGCUUCUGUCAUGACUGAUUGAAGUCUGUUAUGUUUCAGGAAUCUUUUAUCUCUCUUGGAGUGGGUUUCCUUUAUGUUGGCUUCAUUGCUAGCCAGGUCUUUGUGGUAAAGAUGGCAAUUGGUUGACUCAACUUAGAAUGCCUUUAUUUAUUUUUUAAAAAUUUAUUUAUGUGAGAGAGAGGGAGCAGAGAGGGAAAGAGAGCGAGCACAUGAGUUUGGGGAGGGGAAGAAGGAGAGAGAGAAGCAGACACCUUGCUGAACAGGGGACCCUGGGAUGACGACCUGAGUUGAAGGCAGGUGCUUAACCAACUGAGCCACUGAGGCACCCCCUUAGAAUGCCUUUAAAUCUAUAUAUUGUUGAUGAAUAAUGUGCUGUUUCUCCAAUAUAUCUUUUUGGGAGGAAUGUAAUUGAUCUAUUUUGUAUUAUGUGGCCAUUUCUAAAGCAAUUAGUUUGCUAUAAAAUAAUUUUGAUACCACAUGCCUAACUUUGUGGUAUGGACACAUCAUAACUGCAUUGAAUGAAUCCCAUUUAUGAGAUAGAAGUUCAUCUAUCAGAUAGAGGGAAAAAGUAAUUAAAACACAUACACAGACCUAAAAUGCAAAUUUCCACUAUUGAGGACCUAUCUAAAUUUCAACUGUAGUUAUAGGGACUCAAAAGAAGUUAAUUUCACAGUUC
RNAcentral lists this long non-coding RNA (1865 nucleotides) under Canis lupus familiaris (dog). Its description in RNAcentral is "lncRNA (ENSCAFG00845023476.1)". The record is from RNAcentral. Lineage: Eukaryota; Metazoa; Chordata; Mammalia; Carnivora; Canidae.